GAUGAACGCUGGCGGCGUGCCUAAUACAUGCAAGUCGAGCGAACGGACGAGAAGCUUGCUUCUCUGAUGUUAGCGGCGGACGGGUGAGUAACACGUGGAUAACCUACCUAUAAGACUGGGAUAUCUUCGGGAAACCGGAGCUAAUACCGGAUAAUAUUUUGAACCGCAUGGUUCAAAAGUGAAAGACGGUCUUGCUGUCACUUAUAGAUGGAUCCGCGCUGCAUUAGCUAGUUGGUAAGGUAACGGCUUACCAAGGCAACAAUGCAUAGCCGACCUGAGAGGGUGAUCGGCCACACUGGAACUGAGACACGGUCCAGACUCCUACGGGAGGCAGCAGUAGGGAAUCUUCCGCAAUGGGCGAAAGCCUGACGGAGCAACGCCGCGUGAGUGAUGAAGGUCUUCGGAUCGUAAAACUCUGUUAUUAGGGAAGAACAUAUGUGUAAGUAACUGUGCACAUCUUGACGGUACCUAAUCAGAAAGCCACGGCUAACUACGU
RNAcentral lists this ribosomal RNA (496 nucleotides) under uncultured bacterium. RNAcentral describes it as "partial 16S ribosomal RNA". It matches the Rfam family "Bacterial small subunit ribosomal RNA", at positions 28 to 506 of the family's 1533-position model. The record is from RNAcentral.